Molecule: ribosomal RNA, 483 nt
Filed under: uncultured bacterium
Lineage: Bacteria
Description: partial 16S ribosomal RNA
Rfam family: Bacterial small subunit ribosomal RNA
Source: RNAcentral
GACGAACGCUGGCGGCGUGCUUAACACAUGCAAGUCGAACGCUGAAGCUCAGCUUUUGUUGGGUGGAUGAGUGGCGAACGGGUGAGUAACACGUGAGUAACCUGCCUCCUUCUUUGGGAUAACGCCCGGAAACGGGUGCUAAUACUGGAUAUUCACUGGUCUUCGCAUGGGGGUUGGUGGAAAGGGUUUUUCUGGUGGGGGAUGGGCUCGCGGCCUAUCAGCUUGUUGGUGGGGUGAUGGCCUACCAAGGCUUUGACGGGUAGCCGGCCUGAGAGGGUGACCGGUCACAUUGGGACUGAGAUACGGCCCAGACUCCUACGGGAGGCAGCAGUGGGGAAUAUUGCACAAUGGGCGAAAGCCUGAUGCAGCGACGCCGCGUGAGGGAUGGAGGUCUUCGGGUUGUGAACCUCUUUCGCUAAUGGUCAAGCCGCAACAAUGGUUGUGGUGAGGGUAGUGGGUAAAGAAGCGCCGGCUAACUACGUG